GCGCCCGUAGCUCAGUGGAUUAGAGCACGUGACUACGGAUCACGCGGUCGGGAGUUCGAAUCUCUCCGGGCGCGCCA
RNAcentral lists this transfer RNA (77 nucleotides) under Candidatus Poribacteria bacterium. Its description in RNAcentral is "tRNA-Arg". It matches the Rfam family "tRNA". From Rfam's summary of the family: Transfer RNA (tRNA) molecules are approximately 80 nucleotides in length. Their secondary structure includes four short double-helical elements and three loops (D, anti-codon, and T loops). Lineage: Bacteria; Candidatus Poribacteria. The record is from RNAcentral.